UACCGUAUAGUCAGACCACUCGGGCU
Molecule: non-coding RNA, 26 nt
Filed under: Mus musculus (house mouse)
Lineage: Eukaryota; Metazoa; Chordata; Mammalia; Rodentia; Muridae
Source: RNAcentral